Molecule: long non-coding RNA, 3159 nt
Organism: Panicum virgatum (switchgrass)
Lineage: Eukaryota; Viridiplantae; Streptophyta; Magnoliopsida; Poales; Poaceae
Exons: 3
Source: RefSeq, a predicted model, not a curated record
CUCAAUCAGGUUGAUUAAAACCUACUGCCCUUUGGGCUCCUCCCCGCGUUCGACGGUAAAAAAACGGACGCGUGUCGAUCAGCGCUCGGUAUGGCAUUUUUCCAAAAAGGCCCUUCCACUUUCUUAAAAUCAUCCAGCAGUCUAACUUAUCAGAUUGGAACAGUAAAAACUUUAUAUUUUUUGCGUUUAGAUCCUUAUUGUAAAUCUUAUUUCAACAUGAAGAAGAGAAAAAUCGGAAUUCUUGUCAUUUUACAAAAAACCGCCCGCGUAUCGUUUUUCGGAAAACCCCCUCCCCAAUCCAAACCCUCACCCACUUCCAUCCCCCCCCCUCUCUCUCUCUUCUUCUUCCCUCUCCUCUCCCUGCCGCCGCCGCCGCCACUCUCCCUGCCCUCGUGCCUCUGCCUCCCCUCGCUAUCUAGCUCUCCGCCUGCCUACACCGCUGCCGCAUCGUCUCCCACGCCGCCUCGCCCAGCUCAGCCCCCCAGCCUUCGCCUCCCCGGCCCUCGCCUGCCCCUCCCACCCCGGCCCCUACCUCUGCCGGCACGCGGCUGUAGCCCGGCUGCAGGGCAUCCCGCGCUAGAUCUGGCGGGGGCGUGCUCGGCGCGGCGGCCGGCGACCCCCCGGUGCGGAGGCCCUGGUCGGCCUCGGGCACGGCACCAGAGGUCCCCGGAGCGGAGGCCCUAGCCGGGCUCGGGCACGGCAUCGGAGAUCUCGCGCGGGCGGGGGCAGGAGCUGCGAUGGCACGGCGACCGACUGCGGGAGUGGCGUGCGCCUGGAGGGAGCGGCGGCGGCUGGAGUCGCAGAGCUGCAGUCCCUCCCUUCGCUCUCAGAUCCGGCGAGCUCCUCCUCCUCCGCUCCCGCCUCCGCGCGGAGUCAGGGAUGGGAUUCCUCUACAUGAGCCGCGGCAAGGAUUGGAUACUGCUCGCAUCUCACAAGUAAGGGCAACUCCAAUCAGUAGCCAUGCUUCGUGUCUCCUCUCUCUGAGCCAGCCAUGAUUGGUUGAGGAGGAGAAGGAUGCGGGCUGCGCCCGAUGCUUGUUGGACUCGACGCAAGCGGCGGCGUGGCUCGCAUGCCUGCAUGGGCACAUGGCGGCGUUCGUUUCUUACUGCUGCUUCGCGCGCGGAGAAUCCAAGCACUGAAGGCAGAAGAAUCCGCUGAACUGAUCCACUGCAACGCCUGCUUCACCGAUGCUUUCAUGUCCUAUUUGCUCACCUCCAAUCUGAUUCAAGUAAUGAAACUAGACCCGCACUCAGUAAGAUUUUGACUAUGCUGGUUUAAUCAGAUGGCCAUUGAUUCAUGUGUUACUUCUACAGAACAUAGUUUUUUUAGCAGUAGUGAUUUUGUGAAGUCCUGCAUUAUGUGACAUAUAUAGUUCAAUGGGAAUAACUUGGAAACCAUUUUUUAUGUAAACACAUUUCUGAUAUUUUAACUUAACAGGUAUAUUGCACUGACUGGCUUUUUUCAUGCUCCAUUUUGUUUGCAUUUGCAUCUGGUUAAAUAUAGUAAUUCCAUUUUGAUUAAAUCAAAAUGAGUUGUGAUGUCUUCUGUUCAAGUAAGUGUUCAUAAAUAUGUUUGGUCUGACCACGGAGAACACAGAACAGAAGGCAUACAAUUAGGUAGCCAUUGAUUGUCCUAACCAGCAUGCACGUGCAUUAUAUCUUGCAAAAUAUAUUUGAGAUGCUUGCCUGACUUUUAGUUUGUUCAUUGUGGCCUCAUCUGUUCAUGUGUUUUGGUAUCUAUUUUGUCAUGUAACCUAGGACAGCCUCCAUUUGGAAUAUAAAACUUCAUAUUUUCCUUUUGUUGCAUUUUUGUGUCUUUUAAUUUAUUGUGACUGCAAUCUGUAUUCAAUGCCAUGUUGGGUUCCUACAUUUGUAUUCUUCCAUUUGCUAUCUCAUGCCUUAUUUAGGAGCUUCUCAUGAUUAUGGAUCUCUUUUAUUUAUGAUAAAUAAUGUGGAUCAUUCAUAAGAUUUCUGCCUCCAUUGUUAGGUAGUUAGAUUUUCAUUCCACAAUGGUUACAUUGGACACCUCACUAGCUUCCUUUGAAAGAAGAAGAGAAUUAUAUAUAGCCUGUGACUUGGCUAAUGUUUGUAAAAUGAAUAAAUGACUACAAUUAGCGAAGAAGGAAAACCAGUUGCUGUUUGAUAGUACGUCAGUAGCAAACAUAAAUAUAAAAUAUCAUCUAUCUGUUGUAAAACUGUUAUGCAUAACUCUUGCCAGUGCAUCAGUAUGACUACCUCUCUUUUUUUGGCAUUUGCAUUAAAAUCUUGGAAGUCUGGAAACGUGGUUCCGGCUGCAAAUUAGUAAUUUAGUAGCCUGGUUAACUAGGCUGCUGGGUUCCAGAAAAUACUGCGUAUUAUCAAAUCAUGGUAGCCAUAGUUUUCCUUUCUUUUCUUACAUCUGAACUAUUUCAAAAAUGUCUCACCAAACAGAAUAUCCUUCAGCUACACAUGUGCUAAUUCCUUCUUCCAUCAGUAGGAUAGCUAUGGAAGCAAUUGCACAGACACAAGAACGACAAGGUAAUGUGUUCUAGCACUACUUGUUUUAGAUCAACUGAACCUCUUGCAUCCCUAUGUCGAAAGUUGUCCUAUGUGCAGAAGGAUCCAUUGGUAGGAGCAAAAAGAAAAGAGUAAACAUCAGUAUACACAACUAAACUGCUGCUUUGAUGGCUCCACAUUAACCUCUUGAACUCUUGGUAAUAAAAAAAGCAUCUGCAUCAUGCAUGUUUCUAUAUCAUUCAUGGCCUGUCUUGGGCUCCCCUGCAGGGCUGCAUCAUGCUUGCUUGCUUGAAAAAUGCUUUAAGUUACUCCAUUUCUAUUGUUUAACGGCAUAAACCUGAUGCUGUUGUUUUCCACUCACUGCCAUUCAUGUUGCUAACUACUGAUUAGAGAAUGUUUAAUUUGGUGCAGCCCCACAGCUAGAAUACCUGGUGGUCAGAUACUCUGAUGAUCUCAAGUUAAAAGGCCCUGGGAUUAUAUAAGAAGAUAGUUAUGUGAAGGUUUUUAAGGUGUCCUAAAAGCUUAAUCAAGACUGCGGGGCAUUGACUGUCUCUUACGGUUAUACUACGAAUAUUACGCAUUCAUGUAGCACUUGCUUAUUGUCACGAUUGACCAUUAUAUGCAUUGUCAAGAAAUUAAUGUAUUUUUAUUGGCUUCUUUUUAA